This 482-nucleotide ribosomal RNA is filed under the name uncultured bacterium. Its description in RNAcentral is "partial 16S ribosomal RNA". It matches the Rfam family "Bacterial small subunit ribosomal RNA", at positions 29 to 523 of the family's 1533-position model. The record is from RNAcentral.
AGUGGACGCUGGCGGCGUGCUUAACACAUGCAAGUCGAACGGUAGCAGAUAGAAGCUUGCUUCUAUGCUGACGAGUGGCGCACGGGUGAGUAAUGUAUAGCUAACGUGCCCCUUAGAGGGGGAUAACAGUUGGAAACGACUGCUAAUACCCCAUACUCCUUUUAUAUUAAUUAUAGAUGGGAAAUGUUUUUUCGCUAAGGGAUCGGGCUAUAUGGUAUCAGCUAGUUGGUGAGGUAAUGGCUCACCAAGGCAAUGACACCUAGCUGGUCUGAGAGGAUGAUCAGCCACACUGGAACUGAGACACGGUCCAGACUCCUACGGGAGGCAGCAGUGGGGAAUAUUGCACAAUGGACGCAAGUCUGAUGCAGCAACGCCGCGUGGAGGAUGACACAUUUCGGUGCGUAAACUCCUUUUAUAUAGGAAGAUAAUGACGGUACUAUAUGAAUAAGCACCGGCUAACUCCGUGCCAGCAGCCGCAGUAA